ACCCCCACUCCGGGACCCCCUCCCGGUACCCCACCCCCGGGGUCCCGAACUCCCCAUCCCCCGGGACCCGACCCCACCGGGAUCCCCCCUCCCAUUCCAAGAGCCCACCCUGCUCGCCUGUCCCAAUCCCGGUGUCCCAAUCCCGGUGCCCCACCCCCAGCACCCGUCCACAGCUCCUGUUUAUGGCCGUGGAGCAGUUCGCGAUCUGAGGAGAAUCCCCCCGGAUCUGGGAAGCAAUGGAUCAUCUGCAGGCAGGAGUGGGAACUUAAAAUUGGGAUAACAAUUUGGCGAGCCAGCCAGGAGUCCAAGACGAGGUCUCGGAAGCGGUGUGAGUGAUCGACAGGGAUAACGACUACCUGAGACGGAAGGGCCCACAAGUUUCUUCAUUCACAGGUGAAGAGCGCCUUUAAACCACGGGAAGGACAGGAUGCGGAGUUGCCUGACCUGGAAAUUGGAGAUUCGGUACUGAUACGAGAUUGGGAGUGCCCUAAAUUGGGACCUCGGUGGAAAGGCCCCUUCCAGAUACUGCUCCAAACUCCUACAGCUGUGAAAGUACAGGGCCAGGAACGCUGGAUUCAUCUGAGUGACUGUAAACGAUGUCCACCAGAAGGAAAGUGACGUUUCUUAGAUUUGGACUCCUUCCCAUUACCAGUACUCCUGCGUUGGCAUUACAGGAAAUUUAUCAUGGCAGUGACCAAGGCCCAACCAUCUUCAGCUGUUUCAGCAACGUCCGUCCUCGCAGCACAAGGUUAAAACUGGGAUGUUUGCUGAUUAUUGCACAAUGUUCUGUUCCAUUUGCAACCCCUCACCAAAAGGCAACCUACAGGCAGCAAGACCUGGAAAACAUCCUGGCAUUGAAUGGCAAUACCACUGUCAAGUUCCCCACCAUCAACAUCCUGGGGCCACCACUGCCACAGCUACAUAAGUACUCCAGCUAUAAGUGCAGGUCAGACAUUGGGUGUUUUAUGAUGAGUGACUCACCUCCUGACACCAAGUGCUUUGCCAUGUGUAAGGCAUGUCAGGAGUUCCAACAACACCCAGAAGCUCAACACCGUCAGAACAAAGCAGUCCGUUCGAUUGGCCCUUCAUCCACCAUCCUAGACGUUGUACUCCACCACCACCUAACCCCUGUUCACAGUAGCUGCAGUGUGUAUGUUCUACAAAGUGCACUGCAGUUGUUUGCCCAGACUGCACCGACAUCCCCACAUCGUGACCUAUACCACAAGAAGGGCUAGUGCGGCAGUGCAUAGGAAGAGUACCACCUUAUUGCCAAUUAAAUGCAGCAUUUAAACUUUAACUUUUAAACUUUAAGACUUUAAAACAUAGGAAUAUUGGAAGUUACUGAUCAUGCACAAGCAAACGUUCAAACAUGCCCACAUCAACUAAACUCCAGCAACUUCCAAGAUUUCUCACAUUCCAAACUCUGAUCUUUGAUGAGACUUGGAUUAUAAAACCACUUUGUCACACAGUUUGGGCAUAAUGACCCACUGUACCACAGUUGAACCAUUGCAUUUGGGUUUUGGCCCCCACUGCCAUCUUCCUGAUAGGGUGAAGGUAUGCUCCUUUGUUGUGAUAUUCCCCUUCAAUAACUUCUCUGUUGCCCCCCUACCCCAACCUUCAUCUCUCCAUACGUUACCCUGUGUAUUUUCUCGGAGAGGAAACAUUUUAGUUAUCCCUGGAGCCUUUCCUGAUUCAGAACCUGACCCCUGCAUCUCCUUCUCUCAUGCCUGGGCCAUUCUCCUUAAUACCCAUGCCUCAGUGUGACCAUCAUCAGUGGGAUCAAAAUUACUACAGGCCUGUUGGAACUUUUCAGUUCAAUGUGAGACUAAAGUGCAUGUCUAAAACUGUCUCUUUACUGCAGACAAAUUGUAUCUACUUAGGCCUGGACUGGACCCCCUCAAAGUGAAGCCAGAAACUAUAUGCAGACACUGUGGGGUGUUCUCCCUUUCGCUGUCUGCACUUAGUUAUACCUUCCACAGGGUCUCCACUGUCGAAUCCUAGCGUCGCUAAAAUUGCAUUUUUCAUAUCGACCAAGGAACCUCCAAUCUUGUGUUGAGACUGGGGCAGAGCUGAGCACACGGCUGGACUCAGAGCUGUCAUUAUAAGUGGGCAGGCACGGUAGUGUAGCAGUUAGCGUAACACUUUACAGCGCCAGCGACCCGGGUUCAAUUCCGGCCGCUGUCUGUAAGGAGUUUGUAUGUUCUCCCUGUGUCUGCGUGGGUUUCCUCCGGGUGCUCCGGUUUCCUCCCACAAUCCAAAGACGUACGGGUUAGGAAGUUGUGGGCAUGGUAUGUUGGCGCCGGAAGCGUGGUGACACUUGUGGGCUGCACCCAGAACACUCUACACAAAAGGUGCAUUUCACUGUGUGUUUUGAUGUACAUGUGACUAAUAAAAGAUAUCUUAUCUCA
Pristis pectinata (smalltooth sawfish) is the source of this 2408-nucleotide long non-coding RNA. RefSeq lists it as uncharacterized. The record is from RefSeq and is a predicted model, not a curated record. Lineage: Eukaryota; Metazoa; Chordata; Chondrichthyes; Rhinopristiformes; Pristidae. The transcript has 3 exons.